Molecule: ribosomal RNA, 462 nt
Filed under: uncultured bacterium
Lineage: Bacteria
Description: partial 16S ribosomal RNA
Rfam family: Bacterial small subunit ribosomal RNA
Source: RNAcentral
GACGAACGCUGGCGGCGUGCUUAACACAUGCAAGUCGAACGGAAAGGCCCUUCGGGGUACCCGAGUGGCGAACGGGUGGGUAACACGUGGGUGAUCUGCUCUGCACUUUGGGAUAAGCCUGGGAAACUGGGUCUAAUACCGAAUAGGACCACGCGCUUCAUGGCGUGUGGUGGAAAGCUUUUGCGGUGUGGGAUGGGCCCGCGGCCUAUCAGCUUGUUGGUGGGGUAAUGGCCUACCAAGGCGACGACGGGUAGCCGGCCUGAGAGGGUGACCGGCCACACUGGGACUGAGAUACGGCCCAGACUCCUACGGGAGGCAGCGGUGGGGAGUAUUGCACAAUGGGCGCAAGCCUGAUGCGGCGACGCCGCGUGAGGGAUGACGGCCUGCGGGUUGUAAACCUCUUUCAAUAGGGACGAAGCGCAAGUGACGGUACCUAAAGAAGAAGCACCGGCCAACUACGUG